GAAAGCUAGGGUAGCAAAUGGGAUUAGAGACCCCAGUAGUCCUAGCCGUAAACGAUGGAUACUAGGUGCUGUGCGACUCGACCCGUGCAGUGCUGUAGCUAACGCGUUAAGUAUCCCGCC
RNAcentral lists this ribosomal RNA (120 nucleotides) under Triticum aestivum (bread wheat). RNAcentral's name for it is "rRNA SSU_rRNA_eukarya". It matches the Rfam family "Bacterial small subunit ribosomal RNA", at positions 755 to 873 of the family's 1533-position model. Lineage: Eukaryota; Viridiplantae; Streptophyta; Magnoliopsida; Poales; Poaceae. The record is from RNAcentral.